AAAGUCGUAACAAGGUUUCCGUAGGUGAACCUGCGGAAGGAUCAUUAAAGGUAUCCGCCAGUGCUUUUUUUAAAAAGCUUGGCGAUCCAAGAUCAACCACUGUGAGCACUUAAUGAAAAUAUUUUUUGCUUUUGGUAGGCUUCCUCUUCUUUUUUUUGAGGUUGGGGGAAAGUCCUACCAAGAGUAUACCAAAAUAAUCACCCUUGUAAUUUUGACUGAAAUUUUUUUAAUAAAAUUUUUAUACAACUUUCAACAACGGAUCUCUUGGCUCUC
Molecule: unclassified non-coding RNA, 273 nt
Filed under: Glomeromycotina sp.
Lineage: Eukaryota; Fungi; Glomeromycota
Description: partial contains small subunit ribosomal RNA, internal transcribed spacer 1, and 5.8S ribosomal RNA
Rfam family: Eukaryotic small subunit ribosomal RNA (bases 1-47)
Source: RNAcentral